ACGUAAUAGAUACCCAGGUAGUCCACGCCGUAAACUAUGGAUGCUAGCUGUUAUCAGUAUCGACCCUGGUAGUAGCGAAAGCUAACGCGUUAAGCAUCCCGCCUGUGGAGUACGGUCGCAAGACUAAAACAUAAAGGAAUUGACGGGGACCCGGCACAAGCGGUGGAGCGUGUUGUUUAAUUCGAUGGUAAGCGAAGAACCUUACCAGGGUUUGACAUCUUGGGAAGGUCUCCGAAAGGAGACUGUGCCUUCGGGAAUCCAAUGACAGGUGAUGCAUGGCCGUCGUCAGCUCGUGUCGUGAGAUGUUU
This 308-nucleotide ribosomal RNA is filed under the name uncultured bacterium. RNAcentral's name for it is "bacterial SSU rRNA". It matches the Rfam family "Bacterial small subunit ribosomal RNA", at positions 772 to 1077 of the family's 1533-position model. The record is from RNAcentral.